GCAGAGAGUGGAUUAGUGGCGAACGGGUGAGUAACACGUGGGUAACCUGCCCAUAAGAGGGGGAUAACAUCCGGAAACGGAUGCUAAUACCGCAUAGGUCUUUGAGACGCCUGUCUCUUAGAUGAAAGGUGGCUUCGGCUGCCGCUUAUGGAUGGACCCGCGGCGUAUUAGCUAGUUGGUGAGGUAAUGGCUCACCAAGGCUGUGAUACGUAGCCGACCUGAGAGGGUGAUCGGCCACACUGGGACUGAGACACGGCCCAGACUCCUACGGGAGGCAGCAGUAGGGAAUCUUCCACAAUGGGUGCAAACCUGAUGGAGCAAUACCGCGUGAGUGAAGAAGGUCUUCGGAUCGUAAAGCUCUGUUGUUAGAGAAGAACAAGCCGGGUAGUAACUGCCCCGGCCUUGACGGUAUCUAACCAGAAAGUCACGGCUAACUACGUGCCAGCAGCCGCGGUAAUACGUAGGUGACAAGCGUUGUCCGGAUUUAUUGGGCGUAAAGCGAGCGCAGGCGGUCUUUUAAGUCUGAUGUGAAAGCCCACGGCUCAACCGUGGAGGGUCAUUGGAAACUGGAAGACUUGAAUGCAGAAGAGGAAAGUGGA
This 599-nucleotide ribosomal RNA is filed under the name bacterium. Its description in RNAcentral is "bacterial SSU rRNA". It matches the Rfam family "Bacterial small subunit ribosomal RNA", at positions 80 to 665 of the family's 1533-position model. The record is from RNAcentral.